UACAGAGGGGGCAAGCGUUGUUCGGAAUUACUGGGCGUAAAGGGCGCGUAGGCGGCCUGCUAAGUCGAACGUGAAAUCCCUGGGCUCAACCCAGGAACUGCGUCCGAUACUGGUUGGCUUGAAUCCGGGAGAGGGAUGUGGAAUUCCAGGUGUAGCGGUGAAAUGCGUAGAUAUCUGGAGGAACACCGGUGGCGAAGGCGGCAUCCUGGACCGGUAUUGACGCUGAUGCGCGAAAGCCAGGGGAGCAAACAGG
This 253-nucleotide ribosomal RNA is filed under the name uncultured bacterium. Its description in RNAcentral is "partial 16S ribosomal RNA". It matches the Rfam family "Bacterial small subunit ribosomal RNA", at positions 524 to 776 of the family's 1533-position model. The record is from RNAcentral.